Takifugu rubripes (torafugu) is the source of this 2801-nucleotide long non-coding RNA. The record is from Ensembl. Lineage: Eukaryota; Metazoa; Chordata; Actinopteri; Tetraodontiformes; Tetraodontidae.
AUGAGGGUUGUAGAGCUGAAGUCUGAGCUGAAGCAACGUGGUCUGACAGUCUCCGGCUCCAAAAAUGAACUGGUUGAAAGACUGAGGAGCUACCAGGACCUGAAAAAGGGCUGCGGCAAUACCUCCUCACUGACAGCAGGGGGUACCACAGGGUCAGGGGCCGAACGAGGAGCUUCAACCACGGACAGAAGCCCACCAGAAGCACCACAUCAGACCCUGCACCAUCAGGCAUCUCUCAACCUUCGGUCAGCAGCCACUCAGCCGCUCGCACUCCUCAACUGUGACAUCUCACCUCAGGUCAGCUCCCUCUCCACCUCGCCGGGCGCUAGAAACCCUGAAGCCACCAGUGCUGCCAUUCUGGAGGACGUGGACCAUCAGCUGUGUGCAGCCAAUCAGCCCCGGAUUUAUACUAAAGAAGAGCUGAGGCCCUGUCACUUCUCGCUGAGGAAGAGGAAACAUUGCCAGGCCUCCUGGCUGUGCCCCUCCUCCUCCUCCUCCUCCUCCUCCUCCUCCUCCUCCUCCUCCUCCUCCACAGCUCCAGGAGUGAUUGAGGAUAAAGACAAGAUGCUGCAGGAGAAAGACCAGCAGAUCGAGAAGCUGACCAGAAAGCUGAUGCAGAAAGAGCAGCUGGUGGAAAUGCUCAGGCUGCAACUGGAGAUUAGGACACACGGAGGGGCGAGAGUGCACGUAAAAGUGAAACAGGAGCCUCCUGACAGUUGCAGCGGCCCACCUUCACUUAUCCAGCUGCCUUCACCUGCGUUUCCGCCAACAGCUGAGACGGUUGCCAUCAAUCAGGACGCGAUCAAGGAAGAGGAAGUUGUAUCCCGGACAUCUCCAGGAUUACUGCCUUGCGCACAGAUGGAGCAUACAUGUCAGGUCUCUCAGCAGCAAAUGAUUCAGCAAAGACUGCGACCGCAAGGGUGUGAGGCCCAGAAGGAGGAGUGGGGGCCUCAGCCCAGGGGCCCGAUGCUGGGAAAUCUGCAUAGCCAUUCCGCGCAGAGAAGGAAAGGUUCCGACACACUGGAGGUGAAGCAGGAAGUUCCCCGACUGGAUCGUGAUGUGACUGAACAACAGCAGAGGCCGGCACAUCUGGGGCAGCAGCAGCAGAGACUGGAUACAUCCCAGCAGACACCACAGGUGUAUCAAAUAUGUCUCUACCCACUGGAAGUUUUGAAAAACAAACCCACCCCAACCCUGGUUACCAGCGGCAACGACUCCUUGAUUGGACCGAGCGGUCGCCAUAGCACCGACAUCAUGCUGGAGGACGAUGCAACCGCUCAGAUCAUGCUGCAGAGGCUACAGUCCUCAGCCGGGCGCCAUGGCAACAACCUGGCUGAGCGGAGGCAGAAGGCUGCGGAGCAUGAAGGUGAUUCUGUCGAGGUCGUUUUGCAGAGCGGAGAAUGGCCUACCUCCAAACCCGCAACAGACCCUCUAGAUUAUUUAAACCCAACCUCCUCACGCGCUGCCCCUCCCCCCUCGCCGCUCCAGCACGCCCCUUCACCUCUGACCCCCCCCUGCCUGUGCCUGACCUCAACGACAUCUGAGCGACAGACUGGGGUUGACACCAAAGAAGAGGGGCGGUGUCCCGGUGGCUGCUUGGAGGACUUCCUCGAAAGCACCGCUGGGGAGACUCUUCUCGGGGCGGAGCCUGACGGGUUGUUGAGCUUGAUCGAUGACCUGCACAGUCAGAUGUGUGCCCCUCCGUCCUCCAGGGAUGCCUCCAGCACGGAAUCAGAGGAGGAACAUGAGCUGGACCUCACCGUGGAGGGAGUGAGGUGUAACGAGAACUCUACACUGGGUCCACUGGUUCCUCCGCCCCCUUCUAGUGUGUUUUCCACAGACUUUCUGGACAACUUUGACCUGCAGACCUUGAUGGUCUGAAACCCUCCAUGACUGCUCCGCUGCAUGAUCAGAGCGCGCCACCUGUGUCUUCUCACACCCUGAAAUAUUCAACCCUUGAGCACUUUUAUAUAUUUUAUUUACAUGCCAUUAUAUCGAUUUUCUGUGGGGAAACCUGUUAGGCGGGUCCUACGUCUGCCCCUGCUCCUUCAGAAAACCUCCAUGAGAAAACACCAGGGUCCUUCGGGGGCCGGGCUCAACGAAACACUUUUAUCGGCUCAUUAUAGGUACAUUGAUCUUAUCUUUGCGAUGGAAACCACGACAGAGGCGAGAAAAGUAUCGACUUGUUUGACCCUGUCCUAAUUGCGGUGUAAAUCCUCGGACGCCUUGUGUUGCAAACAUAAUCAAUAUUUUAUUACUGCAGAAGGUCAAAGAUAGCCACAUUUUAAGCAUAAACGCAAAGUUAACGUCUUUGACAUGGUUUACACAGUGCACAGAAAGGUUCCGAAUGUUCUAGAUGUGGUGGCAUUAAUACUAGCAUGAUAGCUAAUGCUAAACUAGCCCGUUCCAUCCCGCGACUGUUUUUUAAAAAAACGUAUUUAUAAAGUUGGAAAGAAAUGAUUGAUUGACAUAAGCAUGUCAAACUGAAGAGAAAUCAGUGGUCAUAACUCUUUCAGAUGAACGGUUAUUACAUCUUACAUCAUAUUACAUCUUAUUAGGUUGCAGACCAAAGAAUCGAUACACAAGUUAGCGAACAACAAAGUGUUGCUCAGUGGAAACUAUGGCAGAUGCAUUUUAAAGUUAAUAGAAUAAACACGGGAUGAUAAAUUACAGUUUAAAAGCUGUCUUAGGAAAACUGUCACGAUGAAGACUGCUUCUAAACCUGCUCUUGUUGCUCUAAAGAAUAAAUUCACAUGUUAUUUUUGUUGACAAGAAAUUAAAGCAAGUUUGCUCACACCCAA